GCCUGGGUGGCUCAGUUGGUUGAGCGUCCGACUUCAGCUCAGUCAUGAUCUCGCAGUUUGUGAGUUCAAGCCCCACAUCAGGCU
Molecule: transfer RNA, 84 nt
Filed under: Felis catus (domestic cat)
Lineage: Eukaryota; Metazoa; Chordata; Mammalia; Carnivora; Felidae
Rfam family: tRNA
About the family: Transfer RNA (tRNA) molecules are approximately 80 nucleotides in length.
Source: Rfam by way of RNAcentral